CACACAGUACUCUCCCAGAUUUUCCAAAAUGGGAGCAUCGAAUCCUUACACAAAAUAUGAAUCAACCGUAAAAAAUGACGAUAAAUGGCUGGCAUUUCUCAAGAAGUUUAACUUGACCCAAGCUCAAGGAAAGAA
This 135-nucleotide non-coding RNA is filed under the name Pteridomonas danica. Lineage: Eukaryota; Dictyochophyceae; Pedinellales. The record is from RNAcentral.